GAUGAACGCUGGCGGCGUGCCUAAUACAUGCAAGUAGAACGCUGAAGGAAGGAGCUUGCUCUUUCCGGAUGAGUUGCGAACGGGUGAGUAACGCGUAGGUAACCUGCCUGGUAGCGGGGGAUAACUAUUGGAAACGAUAGCUAAUACCGCAUAACAGUAGAUGUUGCAUGACAACUAUUUGAAAGGGGCAAUUGCUCCACUACCAGAUGGACCUGUGUUGUAUUAGCUAGUUGGUGAGGUAACGGCUCACCAAGGCGACGAUACAUAGCCGACCUGAGAGGGUGAUCGGCCACACUGGGACUGAGACACGGCCCAGACUCCUACGGGAGGCAGCAGUAGGGAAUCUUCGGCAAUGGACGGAAGUCUGACCGAGCAACGCCGCGUGAGUGAAGAAGGUUUUCGGAUCGUAAAGCUCUGUUGUAAGAGAAGAACGAGUGUGAGAGUGGAAAGUUCACACUGUGACGGUAUCUUACCAGAAAGGGACGGCUAACUACGUG
Molecule: ribosomal RNA, 497 nt
Filed under: uncultured bacterium
Lineage: Bacteria
Description: partial 16S ribosomal RNA
Rfam family: Bacterial small subunit ribosomal RNA
Source: RNAcentral